UUACAGCCAUAGCAUUUUGAAUCACCGGUUCCCGUAGGAUCACCGAAGUUAAGCAACGUUGAGCCUGAUCAGUACCUAGAAGGGCGACUGCUUGGGAAUAACAAGUGCUGUAAG
Acanthosepion pharaonis is the source of this 114-nucleotide non-coding RNA. NCBI's taxonomy places the organism in Eukaryota, Metazoa, Mollusca, Cephalopoda, Sepiida, Sepiidae. The record is from the annotation of a GenBank genome assembly.